This 467-nucleotide ribosomal RNA is filed under the name uncultured bacterium. Its description in RNAcentral is "partial 16S ribosomal RNA". It matches the Rfam family "Bacterial small subunit ribosomal RNA", at positions 28 to 506 of the family's 1533-position model. The record is from RNAcentral.
GACGAACGCUGGCGGCGUGCUUAACACAUGCAAGUCGAACGGAAAGGCCCUGCUUUUGUGGGGUGCUCGAGUGGCGAACGGGUGAGUAACACGUGAGUAACCUGCCCUUGACUUUGGGAUAACUUCAGGAAACUGGGGCUAAUACCGGAUAGGAGCUCCUGCUGCAUGGUGGGGGUUGGAAAGUUUCGGCGGUUGGGGAUGGACUCGCGGCUUAUCAGCUUGUUGGUGGGGUAGUGGCUUACCAAGGCUUUGACGGGUAGCCGGCCUGAGAGGGUGACCGGCCACAUUGGGACUGAGAUACGGCCCAGACUCCUACGGGAGGCAGCAGUGGGGAAUAGUGCACAAUGGGCGGAAGCAUGAUGCAGCAACGCCGCGUGCGGGAUGACGGCCUUCGGGUUGUAAACCGCUUUCGCCUGUGACGAAGCGUGAGUGACGGUAAUGGGUAAAGAAGCACCGGCUAACUACGU